GAACGACCAGAGUUCAGAUCCCCUGAACCACAAAUGCUGAGUGAGGGUGUGAAGGAGCAGCUCCAUUGUAAUGGAAACUGGAGAGACCUGAAGCAAGGUUACUCGUGAGACUGGGAAUCCACAAGGCCACGUGCUAUGCCCUGCUCAGAUGUCCCAUGAGAGUCUUUUCCUUUUCUCGAGCAGGAUCAGUGAACUCGCCUCCAGCUCUUUUGCUGCAGAAACGCAUGGAAAAUAUGAGUGGCUCCUGAAAGAAUUCUUUGGCAGAGAGCACAUCUUGUUUUCGGCCGACAUUCGUUCAUCGUCGUCACUACCUACAUCCCCCCC
Grammomys surdaster is the source of this 324-nucleotide long non-coding RNA. RefSeq lists it as uncharacterized. The record is from RefSeq and is a predicted model, not a curated record. The transcript has 3 exons. Lineage: Eukaryota; Metazoa; Chordata; Mammalia; Rodentia; Muridae.